GAGCAAAUGCAGAUGAUAAUUAAAUGUAGCACUAUGACCGAACCUAGCAUAAGAUAUAGUGCUGAAAACUUAAUCACAAUUCAGCUAUAAGCUGAAAGAAAGCAAGAUAUUGGAAACAGAACCAUAUCUAGAAAUCAUAACGGCACUUUGAUACCUCUGCUCUUCAUUUAUCCUGCUAUCUGGUAGUGCUGAAACAGCUACAUUCAUAGCAAACUCAUCUUCAUCUUCCUUGCCUGGAUCAUCAACAGCAUUUUCACUUCCAG
RNAcentral lists this long non-coding RNA (263 nucleotides) under Linum usitatissimum (flax). Its description in RNAcentral is "long non-coding RNA (LUSI_LNC000769)". Lineage: Eukaryota; Viridiplantae; Streptophyta; Magnoliopsida; Malpighiales; Linaceae. The record is from RNAcentral.